Molecule: transfer RNA, 60 nt
Filed under: Acropyga goeldii
Lineage: Eukaryota; Metazoa; Arthropoda; Insecta; Hymenoptera; Formicidae
Description: tRNA-Ser
Source: RNAcentral
GAAAUAAUUAAAAUUGAACUUCUAAUUCAUUAAUUUAUGAUAUUUAAUCAUUUUAUUUCU